Molecule: ribosomal RNA, 1471 nt
Filed under: metagenome
Description: bacterial SSU rRNA
Rfam family: Bacterial small subunit ribosomal RNA
Source: RNAcentral
AGAGUUUGAUCCUGGCUCAGAGCGAACGCUUGCGGCGGGCUUAACACAUGCAAGUCGAGCGCCUAAUCACCCUUCGGGGUGUGCGGGAGCGGCGAACGGGUGAGUAACACGUAGGUUACCUGCCCAGAGGUGAGGGACAACCGAGGGAAACUUCGGCUAAUACCACAUAUGGCCUACGGGUCAAAGGCUUCGGCCGCCUCUGGAUGGGCCUGCGUCCGAUUAUUUAGUCCUUGUUGGUGGGGUAACGGCCUACCAAGGGUACGAUCGGUAGCUGGUCUGAGAGGAUGAUCAGCCACACUGGAACUGAGACACGGUCCAGACUCCUACGGGAGGCAGCAGUGGGGAAUAUUGCGCAAUGGGCGAAAGCCUGACGCAGCCACGCCGCGUGUGUGAAGAAGGCCUUCGGGUCGUAAAGCACUGUCGAGAGGGAAGAAGAUCUGACGGUACCUCUCAAGAAAGCACCGGCUAACCCUGUGCCAGCAGCCGCGGUAAUACAGGGGGUGCAAGCGUUGCUCGGAAUCACUGGGCGUAAAGCGUACGCAGGCGGACAUUUAAGUUGGUUGUGAAAGCCCAGGGCUCAACCCUGGAACUGCGACCAAAACUGGAUGUCUUGAAUACAGGAGAGGUGGGUGGAAUUCCUAGUGUAGAGGUGAAAUUCGUAGAUAUUAGGAGGAACACCCGUGGCGAAAGCGGCUCACUGGCCUGAUAUUGACGCUGAGGUACGAAAGCGUGGGUAGCAAACAGGAUUAGAUACCCUGUAGUCCACGCCGUAAACGAUGAGUGCUAGUUGCUGGGUUUUAUUACUUAACUUGGUGACGUAGUUAACGCGUUAAGCACUCCGCCUGGGGAGUACGGUCGCAAGACUAAAACUCAAAGGAAUUGACGGGGGCCCGCACAAGCGGUGGAGCAUGUGGUUUAAUUCGAAGCUACGCGCAGAACCUUACCUGGGCUUGACAUCCUUCGAAGUUAGUCGAAAGAUUAACGUGCUCUCGCAAGAGAGAAUGAAGUGACAGGUGCUGCAUGGCUGUCGUCAGCUCGUGCCGUGAGGUGUUCGGUUAAGUCCGGCAACGAGCGCAGCCCCUAUUGUUAGUUGCCAUCAUUUAGUUGGGAACUCUAACAAGACUGCCGGUGACAAACCGGAGGAAGGUGGGGACGACGUCAAGUCCUCAUGGCCCUUAUGUCCAGGGCUACACACGUGCUACAAUGGUAUUUACAGAGGGAAGCAAAGCCGCGAGGUCGAGCUAAUCUCAAAAAAGAUGCCUCAGUUCGGAUUGGAGUCUGCAACUCGACUCCAUGAAGCUGGAAUCGCUAGUAAUCGCGGAUAAGCAUGCCGCGGUGAAUACGUUCCCGGGCCUUGUACACACCGCCCGUCACACCAUGGGAGUUGGCCGCGCCCGAAGUCGUGUCCCUAACCGCAAGGAGGGGAGCGCCGACGGCGAGGUUGGCGACUGGGGUGAAGUCGUAACAAGGU